This 1317-nucleotide long non-coding RNA is filed under the name Homo sapiens (human). RNAcentral's name for it is "mir-99a-let-7c cluster host gene". The record is from RNAcentral. Lineage: Eukaryota; Metazoa; Chordata; Mammalia; Primates; Hominidae.
GGCAGGCACCAGAAGAGCUAGCAGCCAAUCCGGCCAUGCUCGAAGCCAGCUCUGCAGCUCAGCCAAUCAGUGACAUCAUUGCUUUCUUUAGCUUGCCCAUGGUGAUGUGAAGAUGAGAAGAAAUAGCAAGGCCCAACCAGUUCUUCAUCUGGAGACAGUUCAACGUUCUGCAAACCAGAUCUUCAGGAAUUUUACUGGGAUAAUUAUCCAAAUAAAUUGCAAGCAUUCUAUCCAAAUGAAACUUACAACCAAGUUGAAAAGACAAGAGCCAUAAAAUAAAAUAAUAGCAAAUUAAUAUAAAACCUGGAUAAAGAAUGUAAUAACUAGAUGACCAAUUUGAGAGUGCUUAUUGGGACUUAUGAAGAAAAAGAAAUUGAAAAAAGGAGCUCUUUCUGAGAUGAAGAGAAUUCUCAAUGUCAAGAUUUGAACAAGAAGAGAAUGGAAUACACAAUAUGGACAUCCAUAAAAAUUCAUCAGAGAGCAUUUUACUACUGAGCUGCAAAGGUAGGAAAAAUAAAUUUUUUUUGGUUAGAAAAUAUACUUCUUUCAUCUGCGUUUCAAUAAUUUAUUCCCCUUGUUAGAUAUACAUGGAAUUGAUAUUGCUUAUUCUGACUAAGUGAAAAGUGUUAUUUCUACUUACUGCUCAAUUAGAAACAUGUAGUGUUUAAUUGUCAGUUUGAAUUUUUCUUUCAUACUAUUACAGUUUAUAUUUUACUAUAGGCAGAAUUUCCUCUUUAUCCUAAAUUUUGAUAUUCUCCAUAAUUUCAUCGUGCCUUGACAUUGCUGUAUAUAAUUUCUAUACAUCAGGAAGGCAAUUCUGUGUGCAUGUGUGUGUGUAUAUAUAUAGUUAGAAGUUAGAAACUGAAACUCUUUUUUGUCUACCAUCAUUUCAUAUUUUUCUUGCUAUUUCAAACCUAUAAUUUUUAAAGAAACGACUAACGUAAUCAUUCAUAGAAUAUGCUGUCAGUAACUUAACAAUAUAAAUGUUAACAUGGAGGCAUUUAGUUCAGCAUUUGCUUUACUUAAUAGAGUGCAGAAAAUGUGGCCCUUUUCUCAGUUAGGGUGUAUGUGAAGAUAAAUUUAGAAUUUCUAGACUAGUAAAUACUUCUCUGAUAAUAACUUAAUUAUAGCUAUUUCAAACCAAAUUGUUUAAUUGUGGUGAAUCAUAUGUAAAUUGUUCAGAUGUAGGUCAACACCCACGCCCACAUUCUAGCACCUCUUUCCUAAUUCAAGACAACUUUGCAGUGCCUAAAAGAGCUGAACAGUGCAGAUUAGAGACAUAAGACAAAAAAAAAAAAAAAACACAAAACAAUGGUA